CUUGCAUCAUCUUUAGAAUGAUGCAAGAUCGACUAAGUUGACUAAAAUUCUAGGUAGAAUUAUGAUAAUGACAUUGUCUGCCUAUGUGUCUUGACUAAAUUACGUGCCAGCAGUCGCGGUAAUACGUAGAAGACUAGUGUUAUUCAUGUUUAAUCGGUUUAAAGGGUACCUAGACGGUAAAUCAAGCUUUCUCAUAAGAAAUGGACUAAUUUACUAGAGUUACUUACGGUGGGGCUUUAAAGUACUGCUGGUGUAGAGAUGAAAUUCUAUAAUACCUUUUUUAAAAUAAUGGCACAGGUAUAGGCGAAGGCAUCCCCUUAUGUGAUAACUGACGUUGAGGGACGAAGGCUUUAUGUAACAAACAGGAUUAGAUACCCUAUUAGUCUAAGCAGAAAAUGAUGAAUGUCAUAGAUUAGAUGUAUAAGUUUAUUCUAUAAAUGAAAGUGUAAGCAUUCCACCUCAUGAGUAAUUUGGCAACAUUGGAAUUGAAAUCAUUAGACCGUUUCUGAAACCAG
This 515-nucleotide ribosomal RNA is filed under the name Parmelina elixii. RNAcentral's name for it is "SSU rRNA". It matches the Rfam family "Bacterial small subunit ribosomal RNA", at positions 388 to 929 of the family's 1533-position model. The record is from RNAcentral. Lineage: Eukaryota; Fungi; Ascomycota; Lecanoromycetes; Lecanorales; Parmeliaceae.